Molecule: ribosomal RNA, 325 nt
Filed under: uncultured Acidobacteriota bacterium
Lineage: Bacteria; Pseudomonadati; Acidobacteriota
Description: bacterial SSU rRNA
Rfam family: Bacterial small subunit ribosomal RNA
Source: RNAcentral
AAUCAACGCUGGCGGCGUGCCUAACACAUGCAAGUCGAGCGAGAAAGGGUAGCAAUACCUGAGUACAGCGGCGCACGGGUGAGUAACACGUGGGUAAUCUGCCCUGGAGUGGGGAAUAACACCGGGAAACCGGUGCUAAUACCGCAUACGAUGACGAGGUCUGCGGAUUUUGUCAUGAAAGGAGCAAUUCGCUCCAGGAGGAGCCCGCGGCUGAUUAGCUAGUUGGUGAGGUAAUGGCUCACCAAGGCUACGAUCAGUAUCCGGUCUGAGAGGACGGUCGGACACACUGGAACUGAGACACGGUCCAGACUCCUACGGGAGGCUG